AAUUUGCGUUAGGGAUUGAAAUGGAAAUCCUUUUAUCACGCCAGUAGCGUGAUUAGAGAUUGAAAUGGAAAGCCCGACCAUGC
This 83-nucleotide small RNA is filed under the name Nonlabens sp. Hel1_33_55. Its description in RNAcentral is "Flavo-1 RNA". It matches the Rfam family "Flavo-1 RNA". The record is from RNAcentral. Lineage: Bacteria; Pseudomonadati; Bacteroidota; Flavobacteriia; Flavobacteriales; Flavobacteriaceae.